Molecule: transfer RNA, 72 nt
Filed under: Schedorhinotermes medioobscurus
Lineage: Eukaryota; Metazoa; Arthropoda; Insecta; Blattodea; Rhinotermitidae
Description: tRNA-Val
Source: RNAcentral
CAGGCUUAUGCUCUUUUAGUUGGGGAUUUCAUUUACGCUGAACUGUUUGUCGUGCAAUUCGAUGUGGUCUGA